This 253-nucleotide ribosomal RNA is filed under the name uncultured bacterium. RNAcentral describes it as "partial 16S ribosomal RNA". It matches the Rfam family "Bacterial small subunit ribosomal RNA", at positions 524 to 776 of the family's 1533-position model. The record is from RNAcentral.
UACGAAGGGUGCAAGCGGUAAUCGGAAUUACUGGGCGUAAAGCGCGCGGAGGUGGUUCAGUAAGUUGGAAGUGAAAUCCCCGGGCUCAACCUGGGAACUGCUUUCAAAACUGCUGAGCUAGAGUACGGUAGAGGGUGGUGGAAUUUCCUGUGUAGCGGUGAAAUGCGUAGAUAUAGGAAGGAACACCAGUGGCGAAGGCGACCACCUGGACUGAUACUGACACUGAGGUGCGAAAGCGUGGGGAGCAAACAGG